CCCAGAGCGGAGCGCAUUNUGUUCGCCACAAAACCAAGCGCCCUCCGGGCGUCCAGUGUUGACUCAGAACAACUAAGCUGAUCGCACGGUCUUGUACCGGCGACGUGUCUUUCAAGUGUCUGCCUUAUCAACUUUCGAUGGUAGUGUAUCUGACUACCAUGGUGAUGACGGGUAACGGAGGAUAAGGGUUCGACUCCGGAGAAGGGGCCUGAGAAAUGGCCACUACGUCUAAGGAUGGCAGCAGGCGCGCAAAUUACCCACUCUCAACGCGAGGAGGUAGUGACGAGAAAUAACGAGACCGAUCUCUUAUGAGGCCGGUCAUCGGAAUGGGUACAAUUUAAACCCUUUAACGAGUAUCUAUGAGAGGGCAAGUCUGGUGCCAGCAGCCGCGGUAAUUCCAGCUCUCAAAAUGCAUAGAAUUAUUGCUGCGGUUAAAAAGCUCGUAGUUGGAUCUGUGCUAGCCGUCCGGUGCACACUUUGUGUGUUACUGGUUUGGUUGGCUUUUCUGCCGGUCUUUCCCCGGCGUUGGCCUUUACCGGUCGGCGUCGGUGGGCUGGCGAGUUUACUUUGAACAAAUCAGAGUGCUUCAAACAGGCGUUUCGCUUGAAUGUUCGUGCAUGGAAUAAUAGAAGAGGAUUUCGGUCCGAUUUUAUUGGUUUUGCUGACCGAGAUAAUGGUUAACAGAGACAAACGGGGCCAUUCGUAUUGCUACGUGAGAGGUGAAAUUCUUGGACCGUAGCAAGACGGACUACAGCGAAAGCAUUUGGCAAGAAUGUCUUCAUUAAUCAAGAACGAAAGUCAGAGGUUCGAAGGCGAUCAGAUACCGCCCUAGUUCUGACCGUAAACGAUGCCAACUAGCGAUCCGCCGGCGGAUUUAUUCGCCCUGGUGGGGAGCUUCCCGGAAACGAAAGUCUUCCGGUUCCGGGGGAAGUAUGGUUGCAAAGCUGAAACUUAAAGGAAUUGACGGAAGGGCACCACCAGGAGUGGAGCCUGCGGCUUAAUUUGACUCAACACGGGGAAACUCACCCGGCCCGGACACCGUAAGGAUUGACAGAUUGAUAGCUUUUUCAUGAUUCGGUGGAUGGUGGUGCAUGGCCGUUCUUAGUUCGUGGAGCGAUUUGUCUGGUUUAUUCCGAUAACGAGCGAGACUCUAGCCUACUAAAUAGUUGGCUCAUUGCUUCUGUGGGCACAACUUCUUAGAGGGAUUUUCGGUGUUCAGCCGCACGAAAUUGAGCAAUAACAGGUCUGUGAUGCCCUUAGAUGUCCGGNGCUGCACGCGCGCUACACUGGCAA
RNAcentral lists this ribosomal RNA (1293 nucleotides) under Heterodera glycines (soybean cyst nematode). Its description in RNAcentral is "SSU rRNA". It matches the Rfam family "Eukaryotic small subunit ribosomal RNA", at positions 189 to 1509 of the family's 1831-position model. RNAcentral also lists the same sequence under 1 other name. The record is from RNAcentral. Lineage: Eukaryota; Metazoa; Nematoda; Chromadorea; Rhabditida; Heteroderidae.